This 85-nucleotide transfer RNA is filed under the name Pseudoalteromonas ruthenica. RNAcentral's name for it is "tRNA-Leu". It matches the Rfam family "tRNA". From Rfam's summary of the family: Transfer RNA (tRNA) molecules are approximately 80 nucleotides in length. Their secondary structure includes four short double-helical elements and three loops (D, anti-codon, and T loops). The record is from RNAcentral. Lineage: Bacteria; Pseudomonadati; Pseudomonadota; Gammaproteobacteria; Alteromonadales; Pseudoalteromonadaceae. RNAcentral also lists the same sequence under 15 other names.
GCGGGAGUGGCGGAAUUGGUAGACGCGCUGGAUUUAGGUUCCAGUAUCUUCGGAUGUGUGAGUUCAAGUCUCACCUUCCGCACCA